UUCUGGCUCAGGAUGAACGCUGGCGGCGUGCUUAACACAUGCAAGUCGAACGGGGUAUAGAAGAAAUUUCGAAUGGAAUCUAUACUUAGUGGCGGACGGGUGAGUAACGCGUGGGUAACCUGCCGUAUGCAGGGGGACAACAGCCGGAAACAGCUGCUAAUACCGCAUAAGCCGACGGUGCCGCAUGGCACAGCCGGAAAAGAUUUUAUCGGCAUACGAUGGACCCGCGUCUGAUUAGCUUGUUGGGGGGUAACGGCCCACCAAGGCGACGAUCAGUAGCCGAACUGAGAGGUUGAUCGGCCACAUUGGGACUGAGACACGGCCCAGACUCCUACGGGAGGCAGCAGUGGGGAAUAUUGCACAAUGGGGGGAACCCUGAUGCAAGCAACGCCGCGUGAGUGAUUGAAGUAUUUCGGUAUGUAAAGCUCUAUCAGCAGGGAAGAAAAUGACGGUACCUGACUAAGAAGCCCCGGCUAACUACGUGCCAGCAGCCGC
Molecule: ribosomal RNA, 495 nt
Filed under: uncultured bacterium
Lineage: Bacteria
Description: bacterial SSU rRNA
Rfam family: Bacterial small subunit ribosomal RNA
Source: RNAcentral